GACACUCAAAUUAGUAUGAUAUGUUAUGUUUGGUAUGGUUAAAAAAUAAACUAAAAUAGUGUGUUUGGUAGGGCAUAUAACGCAAACAUCUAGCAACUGAAAGGUUCGUGUUCGAAUCCCAUCACGGACAACUUUAGCAUUUUAGUUCAUUACCAACUUUGCAACUUACCUCUUUUUUUUUUAGCUACUUUGCAACUACAGUACAUAGCAUAUUAGGUAACCCUUCCAUAACAUUAACCCUUUUACCAUAAUGUUAACCACAACAAAUUGGAAUUCGUAAGAUCUCAUACGUUCUGAAAAUGUGCAACAUAUUGUACGAAUUGCAAUUCUUAACAUAUCAUGCAAAAUGUAAUUUAUAACAAAUCAUACAAAAUGGAUGAUGGACAUCCACAAAUUAAUACAUACCAAUACGAAACAUUAACAUAUCAAACUAAUUGGAGGGAACCAGAUUUACCUUUACUAUGUUGUGUCUACCCCUGAGUCCAGGUUUCUCAGGCAUGCUCCUAGACCUCCUGUUGACUUCUAUGGCUGCCUCUUCUCUCUCCUCCUCAUCUUUGGACCACCCUUCCUGUCCUGUGUUCCCCUGGCCUGCUGUCCUGCUCCACAUGGGGUUGAUGCAGAUCUGGAAGGUGAUGGAGGAGAGGACCUGCUGCGUUUCAGACUUCAGCGGGCGGCCCCUAACUCUCAUGUCCUUGUCUCCCUCUUUCUUGUCCAGGCAGUCACACAGCACUGAGUGAAAGAUACGAGACACCUCGCCCACCUUCGGUUCCAACUCUGUCACCAGCUUCCUUGUCCUAGACAUGACAAAGAUUAUGUAUGGAGAAAAAGAGAGAGAAUGGCCGUAAAGAGGCAGAACAAUAAACAGCAUGGUCAUAUUACAGAAGCUACUGUGCCCAGCCCCCCGCGCCUCCACCAAUCACACCAGACAUUCCUUUGAUUGCCAGACAGCAGGUUGACUGGCAUGCUGGACCCCGUGAAACCUUUAUUAACUGGUAAACAUCUUGCAGAGACAGAGAAUACUAAGAUACCAACUAGGAGAAGAGUAACUGGGAAUCUGAGUACUGCAGUCAUCUCUGAGGGAACAGAAGGAAGGACUCUUACAUUUUCUUAUAUUGUCCUUGUAAAAAUGAUAAGAUAAGUUGCGAUGGUCUCGAUGACAUUACAACAACCGUGUUUGACAGUAUUGACAUGAUAUUUCAGUUUUUUUUUGUUUUAAUAAAAUGGUUUUCUCUUCCAAUUCAGUUCUGAUUUUCAUGCUGAUCUCUUGAAAUGAAUCAGGGGCUGUUUCAAAUCCAACAGAUUGAACUGAAACCUUUGACCCUUGAUAUUCUGUCAGAAAUACAUCACUAUUUUACCCCAUCAAAUAUCUAGAGUUUAAUACAGGGUAGGGUGUUUUGAUUGGGUGGUCAACUGGCCACUGAUUGGCUCAAGGCAUACCACUGCACUUGUAUUUCCCUCCUUCCCUCUUCUGUACUUUUAUAUUCAAAUGUCCAGUCUCCACUCAGACCAGAUACUCUGAUUAUUGUCAGCGGUAUAUGGAUUAUUGUAUAUUCCUGUUCUUUCUCUGAUUAAUCAGUUUCUCUUUUAUGUUUACUUCAAGAUUGGCAGUAUAUCUCCUCUAUGCCUCUCUGUGCUUGGCCCUGAUUUACAGGCUCCCAGCCCUCUGAGUAAUAAGACUCCUGUUUCAUAGCAGUUGGAAUCAGUUCAGUUUUUUGGUGAGCAAAGGGGAUCUGCAAGCUCUCACAGAUUGAAUUGACAAAGCUAAAUGUGCAUUAAAGUUACUUUGGUGGGUAUUUGUACUGUAACUAAUCAAAUUCUCAUUGUCUGCCAGUGUACCAUACCAGCAGUACAGUAUAGAACAAAGUGCUUCUCAAGAUUGGUAUAACUUCCAAGCAUUUUCUUCAUAAAAAGUCUUACCAUUUGCAUGCAAGCAUUAUAUUUGUGCUUAUUCUGCUUAAAACUGUGUUGCAUUUUAACAUAGCUAACAUUGAUGACUACAGUAUAUGCAGUGACAAAGGAGAGAUAGGGGGAGAAAGUUUGUGUUGGUGUCAAAGCCUUGUUAAACUGAGUAAGCGACUAAUAUAUUUCAUACUGACUGACAAUGAUGGCAAUUGGCCCAGAGUUAACAACAUGGAGGUACAUCAGUUCAUUGCAAAUUUGACUUUUUAUUCUUAGACUUCUUAGACUUAGUGAGACCUAGCUAAGAGUCUAUUAGAGAAUGUAGGAUUUGAAUACUAUGAGAACACAGUACAGAAUUCUCCUCCCCUCAAAAGAUUUAUACAAAUUCAAUGCUUAUACACAUCAUUACUAACAUUUUUUUUCUUCAAUCAUCAGGUCACAGAGAGAGAGAGAGAGAUAAGUAGAUAAGCUCAAUUUUUUUUCCCCUCGCAAAAAUCCAUUCACAGAGCUGGAGGGAGACAUGGUGGAGCUCAGAGAGCUAGUCCACACAAUCAAGAACAAACCCACAAAACAGACCAGCACAACAACCCCCCA
This is a long non-coding RNA of Oncorhynchus tshawytscha (Chinook salmon), 2493 nucleotides long. RefSeq lists it as uncharacterized. Lineage: Eukaryota; Metazoa; Chordata; Actinopteri; Salmoniformes; Salmonidae. The transcript is spliced from 3 exons. The record is from RefSeq and is a predicted model, not a curated record.